This 841-nucleotide ribosomal RNA is filed under the name Morrisiella indica. RNAcentral's name for it is "eukaryotic LSU rRNA". It matches the Rfam family "Eukaryotic large subunit ribosomal RNA", at positions 55 to 929 of the family's 3401-position model. The record is from RNAcentral. Lineage: Eukaryota; Fungi; Ascomycota.
GGAAAAGAAACCAACAGGGAUUGCCCCAGUAACGGCGAGUGAAGCGGCAACAGCUCAAAUUUGAAAUCUGGCCCCAGGCCCGAGUUGUAAUUUGCAGAGGAUGCUUCGGGCGCGCCGCCUUCCAAGUCCCCUGGAACGGGGCGCCUUGGAGGGUGAGAGCCCCGUGCGGUCGGCGGCCGCGCCCGUGUGAAGCUCCCUCGACGAGUCGAGUAGUUUGGGAAUGCUGCUCUAAAUGGGAGGUAGACCCCUUCUAAAGCUAAAUACCGGCUAGAGACCGAUAGCGCACAAGUAGAGUGAUCGAAAGGUGAAAAGCACUUUGAAAAGAGGGUUAAAUAGCACGUGAAAUUGUUGAAGGGGAAGCGCUGGUGACCAGACGUGCGCUGGGGCGAUCAACUGGCGUUCUCGCCAGGGCACUCGUCCCAGCGCAGGCCAGCGUCGGUUCGGGCGGGGAGAGAAGGGCGCCGGGAACGUAGCUCCUCCGGGAGUGUUAUAGCCCGGCACUGGAUGUCCCCACCUGGACCGAGGUCCGCGCUCUGCAAGGACGCUGGCGUAAUGGUCAUCAGCGGCCCGUCUUGAAACACGGACCAAGGAGUCGAGGUUCUGCGCGAGUGUGUGGGUGCCAAACCCGUACGCGGAAUGAAAGUGAACGCAGGUGAGAGCUUCGGCGCAUCACCGACCGAUCCUGAUGUCUUCGGAUGGAUUUGAGUAGGAGCGCAGGGCCUCGGACCCGAAAGAUGGUGAACUAUGCUUGGAUAGGGUGAAGCCAGAGGAAACUCUGGUGGAGGCUCGCAGCGGUUCUGACGUGCAAAUCGAUCGUCAAAUCUGAGCAUGGGGGCGAAAG